Molecule: non-coding RNA, 3520 nt
Organism: Lolium perenne
Lineage: Eukaryota; Viridiplantae; Streptophyta; Magnoliopsida; Poales; Poaceae
Source: RefSeq, a predicted model, not a curated record
UCCAGAAUACUCUCCACAUGCCACGGGGCAUUGAAUGUAAUCCUCCCUCCCUGCUCUCUCUACGUCUCCCUUGUUUCUCCAAUCUACCAGACUUGGACGCCUCGUCGGCAAGAACGAGGGCCGGCGGCGGUGGCUCUCAUGCGAAUAAGCAAGUCCGGGGCGGAGGGAACCAGGGGCAGCCGAGCGGGUCCAGUAUCUCGCAGGGUCAGGGGCGGGUGUGGCGGCUCGCAAGAGCGACGGCGGUGGGAAACCGAGGCAGGUGCUGCGGCGAUGGUUCGCAGGCCGGCGCGGCCGCGAGAAUCAGGAAGGGUGGCGGCGGAAAUCAGGUAGGCGGUCCAUGUCCACUCCGAUUUGGCGUCCUUCCCCAUCCGAUUUGGCCUCCUUCCUCUCCAAUUUUGCAAGGUGAAAAGAACUGUGCUGCAUAUGGUCAUGUUUACUCCAAUUUGACCAGGGGAUCUGCUUUUCAUUUAAUAUGAUUAGAGAAGAGCACAUAUACACGAGAGAUGUACAUAUAUUAUCAUGAAUUAGUAGUUAUUACUUUAGGUGAAUCAUGUCUUGCCUUCUAUGUGAUAUACGGGUCGCUGUCACCGUCUCCCCAUUCCAGGGGAGCUGCCGCGCCGCCACCCCAAGGCUCAAAGCUGCACCAGAGAGAUGGCGUUGGCUGGCUCAUCCGCUGCUACCACAUCAGCAUCGAUACCUACUCCUUCCAAUGGCCGCGGUUCCGUCCGCAUUCUCUCUAAUAUAUCCUACAUAUAUACCCUCCAUAUAUUGUUUAGAUUGAUUCAUGGGCUAAUUAAAUUCAAUCAUGUCUUGUUCCGUUCGUUUGCAGGCCAUAAGGUGAGCCUACCAUUUUCUUCCUGCUGCUCUUCCAUACACGAAUACUUGGGAUGGGAUAACGUAGCUCCAAUUCAAUAUACAGUAAUUUUGAUGAUAUUUAUGUCUGACCAUAUGGGACUAUGAAGACCCUAAAAUAAUUUUUCCUGCUGAGCUACUUGAAGACCAAAGCAAUUGCACAUGGAACAUUUCGUAUAUGUAUUAUAUAGUGUCCUCAAAGGCCAUUUUAUGAUGACAAGGUGUCUACCACUAGAAGGCAUUCCUAUGCAGAACGAACUAUCUGAACUAUGAGUGUAGAUGCCCUUCUACAUGAUAUGAGUUGUCGAGCCACUAGAUGAGCUUCUUUCUAUUUGCAAGGGAGCAGGUGAUUUGCGAGCAAGUAGGUUGUUCAGUGUGGUGAAGAUUGCGAGCAAAGAGGAAGGGGGCGAGGUGGUGAAGAUGAGGGUGGUGGGUGCUCGUCAACUGUGCAUGCCUGUCACCGGUUGGUCUGAGUGGAACUACUGCCGCAAUAUGCAAGCAGCUCAGAUAAAGCAAGGAAGGCUAGAAGAUGCUCUUCGACAACACUGCGCCCUUCUUGGUCACGAGGUGGAGGCGGUGAAGCUGCUCGGACGGGGCGCGUUAGAGCCCUGGUUGUGGCCAAGCAUGGCCAAGAGGGCCUCGGGGGUAGAUGCAAAGCGCAUAAUGGUUGGCCAUGUAUGGAGUGCGAGGGACGAGCAGGUUACCGGCUACCGGCUGAGGUGCUUUUCGUUCACGCCCCACCGCUCACCCCCGCAUCGUAACCGACCUCCACAGCCGGCUGAGAAACCGGCGCCGCCCUCCGUACUUCUUCUUUAUCCUCUCCGGAGUACGGCAGCUCCAUGGGCGACCGCUUUCUCCUCCAGAAGCGAGACCCAGCGCCCAUCCCCAAGGUUCUCCGCUCGAGACGGACGGUACCAUGGCGGCGAGAUCAACCUGAAGCUCCUCAUCUUCCGUCUCCUAGGAUGCGGCAUGUCAGAUGCACGUAUGUGCUACAUGAUCGAUUAAGAUGUGGCGUGGGGGGUUGCUGGUCGCGGCAUGGGGUGUUCUGGGGACAAAUCCAACAUGGUGGAGCAUCCGUGCAGCGAGAGGAACAAGGAGCACGCUGCACUGUCUGGUUGAUUAGAUCAGUCGCCGAGCAGCAGAGAUUUGGCAAUGGCGAAGGAGCAGCAGACCACUCUGUGGGCAACGAGGAGUUGCGUAACGUCUGCCCAAUAACAGGAAGGAGGGUGUCGCCCGUUUGGCAGCCUGGCCGACCAGCAGCGCCGGCCGGCCACAAGGACGGAGAGGUGGCUUUCUGCGGGUCAAGUUUUGCGUAACAUGCCAGCAAGAGGAAGGAGGGUGGCGCCCGUUUGGCAGCCUGGCCGACCAGCAGCGCCGGCUGGCCACAAGGACGGAGAGGUGGCUUUCUGCGGGUGUCUGCUGCUGCAAGUUCGCUGUACGGUCGGUUUAUUUGGCUGGUGAGGAACCCUAAUUUCCUUGGGUCAAGUUGGCUGUACGAUCGGUUUAUUUGGCUGGUGAGGAACCCUAAUUUCCUUGGGUCCAUCCAGUGUCAUAUCCAUUGAGUUUGUUGGUGCACCUUCUCCUUGCAGCUAACAGCAGGACCGCUUGGGAAAACAUAAUAAGGAGGAGUAGAACAUGUGUUGCAGAGCUCCAUGUCUUACCUUCCUGGGAGCUCUUCCAGGAGGCCUGGAAGAUAUACAAAAACGUAUUCAGCUGGAUGCUACUCAUCUGAUGGGUUAUAUGCCUAAGCGAAGGUUCAAGCCCUGGUGCAGAAUUAUGAAAGUGUUCUUUUUUUUUGCCUGGAUUAUAGAAGUGCUAUCGCAACAUACAUUGAGUUACCUUUCUACCCAGCUUUUUGCCUUCUUGAUAUUAUAACAUAGGCUCACCUUUCUUUUUGUUGGAAUAGAUGUACAACACGCGUUUAGAAGUCUAACUGCAGUGAUGUUGGCAGGGACCAUUAAAACGACAUUUUGGCUUUCCCUAUUGAUGUAUGCAUGUGUCUGGCUCAAGAAUAUCGAGGAAAAUACUUACUUCAUGCAAUUCUUAUUACAAAUUUAUGGAGUCCUCUUCCGUCGAGCUUAUUGUCCAGUUUUUCCCCACAUUUAACUGCCGAAGUUCCGAUUUUGCCCAGAUGAAAUAGCAAGUGCAAGUGUGCACUGCUCGAAUUGUUCAUAUAUGUUGAUGCUGUCCUAGAUGGGGCUCUUCCCGUUUAAGUAUCAUUACGGUAAUCUCCCGGAUCCUACUUUUCUUGGUUGUUUCUAUUAAGCUGCACAUACUGAAGUUGGACUCUUAAAUUUAAUUGGGCUCAACUCAACAAAUCUGCAGCAGACGGUUAUGCUUACUCACUCCUCAACCUAUCUAUGAGAGCUAAAGUGGCCUAACGAAUUUUGUUCACACAGGAAAGGCAUAUGGCCAAUGCUUAGUUUCAUGUACAUUGUAAGGCACCAUCCUGACGGCUGUCUUCCCUAGCUGUAUCUUUUCUACUGCGUGUAAUUCUGCAUAUUUGCAAUGCAUGGGUGUGCAAAGAGUUGCAUUUAUUUUUCCUGUUUUUAUGUUCCAAUUCCGAAUGGAACACGCCAUCUACAUAAUGUAUUGUUUUAACUCGAUCCUUUUGAAACUGGUACUUACAGGUUCCCAGCACGUAGUUGCAUCUAUGCUGUUUGUUCUA